GCCUCCGUGGCUCAGCGGUAGAGCAGCUGACACAGAAUCAGCCGGUCGUGGGUUCAAGUCCCACCGGAGGCU
This 72-nucleotide transfer RNA is filed under the name Promethearchaeota archaeon. Its description in RNAcentral is "Candidatus Lokiarchaeota archaeon tRNA-Leu". It matches the Rfam family "tRNA". From Rfam's summary of the family: Transfer RNA (tRNA) molecules are approximately 80 nucleotides in length. Their secondary structure includes four short double-helical elements and three loops (D, anti-codon, and T loops). Further hydrogen bonds mediate the characteristic L-shaped molecular structure. tRNAs have two regions of fundamental functional importance: the anti-codon, which is responsible for specific mRNA codon recognition, and the 3' end, to which the tRNAs corresponding amino acid is attached (by aminoacyl-tRNA synthetases). tRNAs cope with the degeneracy of the genetic code in two manners: having more than one tRNA (with a specific anti-codon) for a particular amino acid; and 'wobble' base-pairing, i.e. permitting non-standard base-pairing at the 3rd anti-codon position. Lineage: Archaea; Promethearchaeati; Promethearchaeota. The record is from RNAcentral.